UGGGGAAUAUUGCACAAUGGGGGAAACCCUGAUGCAGCGACGCCGCGUGAAGGAAGAAGGCUUUCGGGUUGUAAACUUCUUUUCUCAGGGACGAACAGAUGACGGUACCUGAUGAAUAAGCCACGGCUAACUACGUGCC
RNAcentral lists this ribosomal RNA (139 nucleotides) under uncultured bacterium. Its description in RNAcentral is "partial 16S ribosomal RNA". It matches the Rfam family "Bacterial small subunit ribosomal RNA", at positions 355 to 509 of the family's 1533-position model. The record is from RNAcentral.